GUGCUGGCUCUGGAAGCACAUCCACUAAAACUGGAAUGUUUCUGAGAGGGUUAGCACAGCCCCUGUGCAAGACCAACAUGCAAAUUAGCGAAGCACUGCCUAUUUUU
Fukomys damarensis (Damara mole-rat) is the source of this 107-nucleotide small nuclear RNA. The record is from Ensembl. Lineage: Eukaryota; Metazoa; Chordata; Mammalia; Rodentia; Bathyergidae.